AAAGCAUCGCAGCUGUUGAAAUACAAGCCAGCCUCCUUACUUCCAGGACGGUUUGAGCCGUCAGGUCUGCUGAUGACGAGACAAAGAACUCAAGUUGAAGCUUUGAGAAAUACGGCUGCUUCUGAUACACCCCGGGAGGCUUCAGGAGUUUCAAGCUCCUACAACUUACGUGCUGCAACAACAGGAUCCAAGCUGCCUAAUUCUGCCUUGCGGAAAACACAUAUGGGCGGCAUACAGUCAGGCAUCCAGAGAUCUGCACCAGG
This is a long non-coding RNA of Scomber scombrus (Atlantic mackerel), 263 nucleotides long. RefSeq lists it as uncharacterized. Lineage: Eukaryota; Metazoa; Chordata; Actinopteri; Scombriformes; Scombridae. The record is from RefSeq and is a predicted model, not a curated record. The transcript is spliced from 3 exons.